This is a long non-coding RNA of Aedes aegypti (yellow fever mosquito), 1616 nucleotides long. RefSeq lists it as uncharacterized. The record is from RefSeq and is a predicted model, not a curated record. The transcript has 2 exons. Lineage: Eukaryota; Metazoa; Arthropoda; Insecta; Diptera; Culicidae.
AGUAUUGAGCUGUCCCGCGUGACGGCAGGACGUGUUUCUCUCUCUCUGCUAUAUUGGCGCGCUUUCGCACUUUUUCCGCUUUUAUUUUACUUUUCGCCACCCAGUGCUCUCUUUAUUCGAAUCUCUAAAAGGCUUCUAGCGUUUCCUAAUGUAUAUUACCUCGGCCGGCACAUAGCUAAAGCCUUGAAUAGAAGUCAGCUGUUCUCUUUCGAGGACCUAGAUCCAACGAGAGAACCUGAAAACAGUUUUGAACUGUGUAAGCCGGUUUGGCCAGAGUGACAACUUGUUCCGUGGAAUGUAAACAAAGCUGUUUGCGGGAUUUGCGAAGAAAUUCCUCCCAAGCCCAGAGUGUGAUUGUGAAGUGACUCCGCCUAGCGGAAAUAAAUUACCCCGUGUGGAGAGGGAACGACCCACUGAGCUGAACCAAGCCAUGCCAAGUGUCCGCGUUUAUGUGUACUAUGGAUUCUGAUUACUGUUAUUAUCGUUUCAAUUAGAUCAAUUUGCGCGCCGACUUCUGUUAUAUUGUUGGAUCUUGUUGUUGUAGCUGCUGCCGUUGCCUGUCCCAGUGUCAGUGUGUUAUAUUUGCCCUCGCCGUAUAUCUCCCUUACAAUUCUCGGGGACCCGGCCCAGCCAAUAAGUCAGUGUUGUGAUGCAUAAUUGAAAAAUUGGUACAAGUAUGUUUACCUAAAAACCAUAUACAAGCACAAGCAAGAGCGCGAACAAAUCUAUCGGCGCACCGUAAAGCAGUCUACCGGCGGCAACAAGCACGUUGUGUGAGAAAAUCUCCGAACAAUUCGGCAUUUGGAGGUUGAAGCAGCAGCAGACCCUUUGCCGGACUGUGUUUACCGAUCUGGCCAAGGUAAAAGCUCCGGAGUACUCCAGUUGAGGUUCAGUGCAGUUAAUAACAAUAAUCUACUACCAGCCGGUUAGUGCUGCAUUUAGUGCAGACCCAUUCAAGUGCAGUGUUUAAGAGCCAUUUUUCUCUCUCAAGUUCUCGACGACCUGGCGUUGGGCUGCCGUAUUGUCUGAGCCGAACUAAGCCGGGGAAAGCUUGUAGUUACUACUGUGUGUAUCCAUCCAUGCCGAACUGCUACCGUUUGGACGGCGAACGCAUUGAGUGUUAACGUGCUGACAUUGUACCUAGUACGUUACUUUGUUGAGUUUGAAUGUUUUGACGCACGCAAGGUUUCGGAAGCGCCACCGUCGUUGUUGUCGGCGGCAUCCUGUGAAGGGGCGAAGCGAACAGUUGCAUUUCGGUCAGCUGUGUGGCACCGACGGAUGAUGUGCUGAAUGCGCGAGAGGCAGCGUACGCAGAAUGGAAAGGAUAUGAUGAUAUACAGAUUCCCAUAGAAAAAACACGAUGCCAACAUAAUCAACGCAAGAUAUUAACCAAAUUCGUCCAGUUGAUUGGAAUCUUCAACCCAUGAAGCCUUAUGCAUAACAAUGCCAUUAAGUGAGCUAAACUCUCUAUCAAAACUCUUCACCGUAGCAAAAAAUCUGUCCAACACCGUUUGAGUAAUGUGAUUACUUGAAAUUUAACAGAAGCUCAUAGUGAACAGCACUCAUAUAUUGAGCAGCACAAAAAGCAGAAAAUCAACAAACAAAUAGCAAAAAAA